Molecule: ribosomal RNA, 484 nt
Filed under: uncultured bacterium
Lineage: Bacteria
Description: partial 16S ribosomal RNA
Rfam family: Bacterial small subunit ribosomal RNA
Source: RNAcentral
AUUGAACGCUGGCGGCAGGCCUAACACAUGCAAGUCGAGCGGAUGAAGGGAGCUUGCUCCUGGAUUCAGCGGCGGACGGGUGAGUAAUGCCUAGGAAUCUGCCUGGUAGUGGGGGAUAACGUCCGGAAACGGGCGCUAAUACCGCAUACGUCCUGAGGGAGAAAGUGGGGGAUCUUCGGACCUCACGCUAUCAGAUGAGCCUAGGUCGGAUUAGCUAGUUGGUGGGGUAAAGGCCUACCAAGGCGACGAUCCGUAACUGGUCUGAGAGGAUGAUCAGUCACACUGGAACUGGGACACGGUCCAGACUCCUACGGGAGGCAGCAGUGGGGAAUAUUGGACAAAGGGCGAAAGCCUGAUCCAGCCAUGCCGCGUGUGUGAAGAAGGUCUUCGGAUUGUAAAGCACUUUAAGGUGGGAGGAAGGGCAGUAAGUUAAUACCUUGCUGUUUUGACGUUACCAACAGAAUAAGCACCGGCUAACUUCGUG